This is a long non-coding RNA of Gadus macrocephalus (Pacific cod), 1161 nucleotides long. RefSeq lists it as uncharacterized. The transcript is spliced from 2 exons. The record is from RefSeq and is a predicted model, not a curated record. Lineage: Eukaryota; Metazoa; Chordata; Actinopteri; Gadiformes; Gadidae.
ACGCUUAUUUUAAAAAUAGAGGAGAAAAUUAUUUUGGAAGGCAGAAGAGACUCUGAGAAGAAAUACACAUUUUGAGGAUCGUUAGGAGAUUCUUCUUGGUAAUGAUCGGACUAAAUUACAUAUGGUAACAUAAUUGUUUCUUCCGGGGAAAAAGACUGAUCUCAAAGAGCUUUCUUACAUUACAGUAAUGCCCUGAUUACAAAAGUCAAGGAGAUACAAAAUGCCGAAUACAAAUAUUAAGCAAAGUACAACAAUCCAAAUGUAAAUAAAAGUAAAAUAAUUAAAAAAACAAUAAACCUAUCAGGCAAUAGCUAGUUAAAACAAGAGCACUGUACCGUAAUCAUACCAUCAAAAAAACACUUGAAAUGAUCAACUGAUACAAAUAGUUUCAAUUUUAGACUAUACUGCAGAUUGUUCCAUUUUGCGUGUUAAAAACACAGAAAAAUAUUUUUUCUUUGCUCGUUCAAGUACUUUAAAAGAUAGCAUGUCGUCUUACCAGAUGCCCAAAUAUUUUUACUGGCUGACUCCCUCAAUUUCUGUCCCAUGAAGAGACUGUAUCUUAUGUAUAGUAGGGACAGGUUUUCUGGGUUUAGAAAAUAACAUGAAUUUAGACUUAGACUCAUUCAGUAUCAAUUUAAGCUCAUCCUCUCUUAAACUCGCCCCCCCACUAACUACCAAUGUGUCAAAACUCUCCCUGAUGUCAUUACCUCAUGUAUUGCUAUUUUGUGUAUGGCUGUUCAGAUAUUUCUGCACACAGUUAAAAGCACAUUGGAGGUUUGAUAAUGCUUGCUCAACUGUAGGUGCUGAGGCAUAUAAAAUUGUGUCGUCCGCAUAAAAAUGUACUUUACACUGUUCUAAGGAGGCACAGAUAUCAUUUAUGUCCAGUGUAAACAGUAGCGGGCCCAGGAUAGAACCUUGUGGUACACAAUUUUUUUACUCUAAGGCAUCAGAUAAUCGACCUGCAGCAUCAAUACACUGUGUCCUGUCAGCCAGUUUUCCAACAAGUAUAGUGUCGUUGAAAUUGUGUCAAAAGCUUUGGAUAAAUCAAUAAACACAGCAGCACAGUAUUGCCCAUGAUCAAAAGUGGCAGCUAUGUAUUUUACCACCAGCGUUUUUGCCAGUCGGCACUAUUGCAAGCUCUAAAGCCUGAUUGCUCAGGGC